Molecule: ribosomal RNA, 465 nt
Filed under: uncultured bacterium
Lineage: Bacteria
Description: partial 16S ribosomal RNA
Rfam family: Bacterial small subunit ribosomal RNA
Source: RNAcentral
GACGAACGCUGGCGGCGUGCUUAACACAUGCAAGUCGAACGGAAAGGCCCCUUUGGGGGUCCUCGAGUGGCGAACGGGUGAGUAACACGUGAGUAACCUGCCCUUGACUUCGGGAUAACUUCAGGAAACUGGGGCUAAUACCGGAUAGGAAUCCUUGCUGCAUGGUGGGGGUUGGAAAGCUUCGGCGGUUUUGGAUGGACUCGCGGCUUAUCAGCUUGUUGGUGGGGUAGUGGCUUACCAAGGCUUUGACGGGUAGCCGGCCUGAGAGGGCGACCGGCCACAUUGGGACUGAGAUACGGCCCAGACUCCUACGGGAGGCAGCAGUGGGGAAUAUUGCACAAUGGGCGGAAGCCUGAUGCAGCAACGCCGCGUGCGGGAUGACGGCCUUCGGGUUGUAAACCGCUUUCAGCAGGGGCGAAGCUUGUGGUGACGGUACCUGCACAAGAAGCACCGGCUAACUACGUG